Molecule: non-coding RNA, 1860 nt
Organism: Cajanus cajan (pigeon pea)
Lineage: Eukaryota; Viridiplantae; Streptophyta; Magnoliopsida; Fabales; Fabaceae
Source: RefSeq, a predicted model, not a curated record
AUUAUUAUUCCUUGACACGUCUAGAAAGACUUUAAAAAAAAUAGUCACAGUGUACAUUAAAUCAGUUCAAUGAGAAUCAAGUAAAAUUUAUCCCAAUUUGUUUUUCAGCCACUUAUCUAUUCAAAACGAAAGCCAUUUAGGGAGAAAUUCAGUUGCGCAAUUUCUUUCUUGGAUGAUUGGAGAAUCAUCUGAAUCCCCAGAUCACAAAGGAAAAUCUGUAGGGUUUCUCAAUUCUCUAACGAUUUUUAGAUCACGCAUCGAUGGGAGAAGUAAGGAACAGUGAAGAUUGUAGGGACAGGCUGAGCGAGUUGCCUGAUUGUGUUCUGCUUCAUAUAAUGAAAUUUUUGGACACAAAACAUGCGGUUCGAACAAAUGUGUUGUCUAAACAAUGGAACAACGUUUGGAAAUGUCUCACUAGUUUGUCUUUCAGGCACAGCCACUUUAACACGGUCACCAAUUACAACAAAUUUGUGUCUUGGGUUCUGUCUAAUCGAGAUGGUUCCAUUUCCCUACAUGAUCUGAGUUUUAUGGCCAGUGGUUCCACUGCGCCCAAACUCAUGACCAAUGUCAUGGAACAUGUCAUGUUGCAUAACAUCCUGCAUUUAACAAUCUAUAUACAUUUAAACAAUUCCAGAGUAAUUGAGCACUACUCUGUCCCUUCUGUUUUCUCAUGUCCCUCUUUGACAUUUCUUAGGCUUUGCAUUAAUUCUUAUGACCAUGCUUUGGAACUCCCAAAAUCUCUGCAUCUGCCAGCAUUAAAAACAUUGUAUCUCACCAAUGUCAAUUUCACUGCACAAGACAAUGAUUGCGCUGAGCCCUUUUCAACAUGUAACAUGUUGAGUAGGUUGGUCCUCAAGGGUUGUUCUUUGGGCAAUGAUGCAAAAGUCCUCUGCAUAUCUAAUUCUAGCCUUUCCAGUUUGAAGCUGAAAAUCUUUGGAGAAGAAAAGUACGAAAUCGCGCUUUCUACUCCAAAUCUUACAUCUCUCACUGUCACAAGUUGUUUGAGUAGUCACAGACUCUCCUUCAUGUGCAAUCUUUCAUUUCUUGAAGAAGUGAAAAUUGACAUCAGUUUUGGUAUGUAUUACUCGGUCAUUGUGAGUUGGCUGCAGCUGCUCACUAAUGUGAAGAUAUUGACUCUCUCUUCAUAUAUCCUUCAGAUGAUGUUGAAAAUUCUAUCAAAUCUUGCUACAAUGAAAAAUCAACCUCCUUGCUUUGCUAGACUGGAGACACUGAAGGUGAAAAUAGAACCUGGCAGAAAAAUAGACGAGGAAGAGUUAAACAGGAUAGUAGAGUACUUAAGACCUGUUUGGGUAAACUUCUCCAGAAGCACUUCUCGGAAAAAAAAAAUGAAAGAAAAAUGAAAUAAAUUUUUCAUAAACUAAAAUUAGUUUGUGUAUAAACUAAUUUGUAGAACCUCUCUUCUAUUAGCUUCUCUAAAAUUUUAUAUAACUUAUGCAUAAGUUAGCUUAUUUCACUUUUUUCCUAAUUUUUUCUUAGAAGUGUUUCUGAAAUAGUUUACCCAAACAAAUUCUUAUUGCAAAACUCUCAACUGAUCAGAGUCAAUGUUAAUUGAAACUAUAUCCGUAUUCCAUGCUUAACUAUUUAGGUUUGGCAUGUCUAAAAUGAAAGGAACAUUGGGGAAUUUGAAGUUGAAGACAGGGAUGCAAUGUGACCAAGAUAGACUAAGGACAAGAAUUGGAUCGAUGACACCCGAUUUUGUUUUGCUCCACGUAAUGGAAUUUAUUAACAUGUUUUUCAAAUUUAUCUUGUUUACUAGAUGGAAGGAAUUUUGGAAAUGUCUCAUUAAUCUUGUAUUGAAUUUUUUAUUUAUGUGUUAUAAACUUAACCCAUUUCGGCAUA